UUUUCAGGCUUAAAACUAAAUGCAGUGCCGCUAUUGUAAAUUUUCACAUCUGCAGCAAGACAUCCUGCUUAAGCACUACAAGCUUCAUCACUGGCAAGCAGACUUUGAAGUCUUUGUUGGAGCGACCUGAUAUUCUUGAGAAAACGUUUCCCAUAAAGGAGGGUACACCAGGAUUCUACACCUCACCUUUUGAUGGAAACAAUGUUACUUCGAGUCAUUCUCUCACCUAACAAUAUCAGGAAGCUAUCAAUACCCACACCAUCGUCAGUUGAG
Long non-coding RNA from Neoarius graeffei (lesser salmon catfish), 273 nucleotides. RefSeq lists it as uncharacterized. The transcript has 3 exons. Lineage: Eukaryota; Metazoa; Chordata; Actinopteri; Siluriformes; Ariidae. The record is from RefSeq and is a predicted model, not a curated record.